AACGAACGCUGGCGGCAUGCCUAACACAUGCAAGUCGAACGAGACCUUCGGGUCUAGUGGCGCACGGGUGCGUAACGCGUGGUAACCUGCCCUUAGGUUCGGAAUAACUCCCCGAAAGAUGUGCUAAUACAGCAUAAUCUCUUAGGACCAAAGAUUUAUCGCCUUUGGGUGGGCCCGCGUUGGAUUAGCUAGUUGGUAGGGUAAAAGCCUACCAAGGCGACGAUCCAUAGCUGGUCGGAGAGGAUGAUCAGCCACACUGGGGCUGCGACACGGCCCAGACUCCUACGGGAGGCAGCAGUGGGGAACAUUGGACAAUGGGCGAAAGCCUGAUCCAGCAAUGCCGCGUGAGUGAUGAAGGCCUUAGGGUUGUAAAGCUCUUUUACCCGGGAUGAUAAUGACAGUACCGGGAGAAGAAGCUCCGGCUAACUCCGUG
RNAcentral lists this ribosomal RNA (433 nucleotides) under uncultured bacterium. RNAcentral describes it as "partial 16S ribosomal RNA". It matches the Rfam family "Bacterial small subunit ribosomal RNA", at positions 29 to 507 of the family's 1533-position model. The record is from RNAcentral.